Molecule: ribosomal RNA, 519 nt
Filed under: uncultured bacterium
Lineage: Bacteria
Description: partial 16S ribosomal RNA
Rfam family: Bacterial small subunit ribosomal RNA
Source: RNAcentral
GACGAACGCUGGCGGCGUGCCUAAUACAUGCAAGUCGAGCGAGUCUGCCUUGAAGAUCGGAGUGCUUGCACUCUGUGAAACAAGAUACAGGCUAGCGGAGGACGGGUGAGUAACACGUGGGUAACCUGCCCAAGAGAUCGGGAUAACACCUGGAAACAGAUGCUAAUACCGGAUAACAACAGAUGAUGCCUAUCAACUGUUUAAAAGAUGGUUCUGCUAUCACUCUUGGAUGGACCUGCGGUGCAUUAGCUAGUUGGUAGGGUAACGGCCUACCAAGGCGAUGAUGCAUAGCCGAGUUGAGAGACUGAUCGGCCACAUUGGGACUGAGACACGGCCCAAACUCCUACGGGAGGCAGCAGUAGGGAAUCUUCCACAAUGGACGCAAGUCUGAUGGAGCAACGCCGCGUGAGUGAAGAAGGGUUUCGGCUCGUAAAGCUCUGUUGUUGGUGAAGAAGGACAGGGGUAGUAACUGACCUUUGUUUGACGGUAAUCAAUUAGAAAGUCACGGCUAACUACGUG